UACGUAGGGUGCGAGCGUUAAUCGGAAUUACUGGGCGUAAAGCGUGCGCAGGCGGUUCGCUGUGUCCGAUGUGAAAGCCCCGGGCUUAACCUGGGAAUGGCAUUGGAAACUGGCGGGCUUGAGUGCGGCAGAGGGGGGUGGAAUUCCGCGUGUAGCAGUGAAAUGCGUAGAGAUGCGGGGGAACACCGAUGGCGAAGGCGGUUCUCUGGGCAUUACCUGACGCUGAGGCACGAAAGCCAGGGGAGCAAACGGG
RNAcentral lists this ribosomal RNA (253 nucleotides) under uncultured bacterium. Its description in RNAcentral is "partial 16S ribosomal RNA". It matches the Rfam family "Bacterial small subunit ribosomal RNA", at positions 524 to 776 of the family's 1533-position model. The record is from RNAcentral.